AGGUGGUGCAUGGUUGUCGUCAGCUCGUGCCGUAAGGUAUUGGGUUAAGUCCCGCAACGAGCGCAACCUUCGUGUCACAGUCCAGGCACAAUGACGCAAUUAUCAAGGGCACGCUUUACCACUGAACUAAUAGUCCAUCGUGCGAGCUUCCCAUUGGGGGCUCGCUAUGCCAAAAGCGAGAGAAUGUAUCAUGUGGUUCGUCACACUCC
Molecule: ribosomal RNA, 209 nt
Filed under: Olea europaea subsp. europaea
Lineage: Eukaryota; Viridiplantae; Streptophyta; Magnoliopsida; Lamiales; Oleaceae
Description: Bacterial small subunit ribosomal RNA
Source: Rfam by way of RNAcentral